GUGGCUAUAGCUCAGCUGGUUAGAGUGCCUGGUUGUGGCCCAGGAGGUCGUGGGUUCAAAUCCCAUUAGCCACCC
RNAcentral lists this transfer RNA (75 nucleotides) under Chloroflexota bacterium. RNAcentral's name for it is "tRNA-His". It matches the Rfam family "tRNA". From Rfam's summary of the family: Transfer RNA (tRNA) molecules are approximately 80 nucleotides in length. The record is from RNAcentral. Lineage: Bacteria; Bacillati; Chloroflexota.